RNAcentral lists this ribosomal RNA (253 nucleotides) under uncultured bacterium. RNAcentral describes it as "partial 16S ribosomal RNA". It matches the Rfam family "Bacterial small subunit ribosomal RNA", at positions 524 to 776 of the family's 1533-position model. The record is from RNAcentral.
UACGUAGGGUGCAAGCGUUGUCCGGAAUUACUGGGCGUAAAGGGCUCGUAGGCGGCCAACUAAGUCAGAUGUGAAAUCCCUCGGCUUAACCGGGGAACUGCGUCUGAUACUGGAUGGCUUGAGUUUGGGAGAGGGAUGCGGAAUUCCAGGUGUAGCGGUGAAAUGCGUAGAUAUCGUAAGGAAGACCAGUGGCGAAGGCGGGUCUCUGGACAGUUCCUGACGCUGAGGCACGAAGGUCAGGGGAGCAAACGGG